RNAcentral lists this ribosomal RNA (216 nucleotides) under Glomeromycotina sp. RNAcentral's name for it is "partial small subunit ribosomal RNA". The stretch from base 40 to 216 matches the Rfam family "Eukaryotic small subunit ribosomal RNA", at positions 686 to 864 of the family's 1831-position model. The record is from RNAcentral. Lineage: Eukaryota; Fungi; Glomeromycota.
GGGUCAGUAGGUUGGUCGUGCCACCGGUACGUACUGGUCUCACUGAUUCCUCCUUCCUGAAGAACCGGAAUGCCAUUAAUUUGGUGUUGCGGGGAAACAGGACUGUUACUUUGAAAAAAUUAGAGUGUUUAAAGCAAGCUAACGCUUGAAUACAUCAGCAUGGAAUAAUGAAAUAGGACGAUCGAUCCUAUUUUGUUGGUUUCUAGGAUUGACGUA